GCAAGUCGAACGCUAUCUUGUAUAGAGUGGCGCACGGGUGAGUAACGCGUGGGAACCUACCUUUCUCUGCGGGACAACGGCUGGAAACGGCCGCUAAUACCGCAUACGCCCUACGGGGGAAAGGUCAGCCGGAGAAAGAGGGGCCCGCGUUAGAUUAGCUAGUUGGUGGGGUAAUGGCCUACCAAGGCGACGAUCUAUAGCUGGUCUGAGAGGAUGAUCAGCCACACUGGGACUGAGACACGGCCCAGACUCCUACGGGAGGCAGCAGUGGGGAAUAUUGGACAAUGGGGGCAACCCUGAUCCAGCAAUGCCGCGUGUGUGAUGAAGGCCCUAGGGUUGUAAAGCACUUUCACUGGUGAAGAUGAUGACGGUAACCAGAGAAGAAGCCCCGGCUAACUUCGUGCCAGCAGCCGCGGUAAUACGAAGGGGGCGAGCGUUGUUCGGAAUUACUGGGCGUAAAGGGCGCGUAGGCGGCUCUUUAAGUUAGGCGUGAAAGCCCCGGGCCCAACCUGGGAACUGCGCUUAAGACUGGAGAGCUAUAAAACGGAAGAGGGUAGUGGAAUUCCCAGUGUAGAGGUGAAAUUCGCAGAUAUUGGGAAGAAC
RNAcentral lists this ribosomal RNA (603 nucleotides) under uncultured marine bacterium. RNAcentral's name for it is "bacterial SSU rRNA". It matches the Rfam family "Bacterial small subunit ribosomal RNA", at positions 57 to 707 of the family's 1533-position model. The record is from RNAcentral.